GACGAACGCUGGCGGCGUGCUUAACACAUGCAAGUCGAACGGUAAGGCCCUUCGGGGUACACGAGUGGCGAACGGGUGAGUAACACGUGGGUGAUCUGCCCUGCACUUCGGGAUAAGCCUGGGAAACUGGGUCUAAUACCGGAUAGGACCACUGCCUGCAUGGGUGGUGGUGGAAAGCUUUUGCGGUGUGGGAUGGGCCCGCGGCCUAUCAGCUUGUUGGUGGGGUGAUGGCCUACCAAGGCGACGACGGGUAGCCGGCCUGAGAGGGUGACCGGCCACACUGGGAGUGAGAUACGGCCCAGACUUCUGCGGGAGGCAGCAGUGGGGAAUAUUGCACAAUGGGCGCAAGCCUGAUGCAGCGACGCCGCGUGAGGGAUGACGGCCUUCGGGUUGUAAACCUCUUUCAGCACCGACGAAGCGCAAGUGACGGUAGGUGCAGAAGAAGGACCGGCCAACUACGUGCCAGCCGCCGCAGUAA
This 478-nucleotide ribosomal RNA is filed under the name uncultured bacterium. RNAcentral's name for it is "partial 16S ribosomal RNA". It matches the Rfam family "Bacterial small subunit ribosomal RNA", at positions 28 to 523 of the family's 1533-position model. The record is from RNAcentral.